ACUACGGGAGGCAGCAGUGGGGAAUAUUGCACAAUGGGGGAAACUCUGAUGCAGCGACGCCGCGUGAGUGAAGAAGUAUUUCGGUAUGUAAAGCUCUGUCAGCAGGGAAGUAAAUGACGGUACCUGACCAAGAAGCCCCGUCUAACUACGUGCCAGCAGCCGCGGUAAGACGUAGGCGGCAAGCGUUAUCCGGAUUUACUGGGUGUAAUGGGAGCGUAGACGGCAGGGCAAGUCUGGAGUGAAAGGCGGGGGCUCAACCCCCGGACUGCUCUGGAAACUGCCAGGCUGGAGUGUAGGAGAGGUAAGUGGAAUUCCUAGUGUAGCGGUGAAAUGCGUAGAUAUUAGGAGGAACACCAGUGGCGAAGGCGGCUUACUGAACUGUAACUGACGUUGAGGCUCGAAAGCGUGGGGAGCAAACAGGAUUAGAUACCCGAGUAGUC
RNAcentral lists this ribosomal RNA (440 nucleotides) under uncultured bacterium. RNAcentral describes it as "partial 16S ribosomal RNA". It matches the Rfam family "Bacterial small subunit ribosomal RNA", at positions 338 to 795 of the family's 1533-position model. The record is from RNAcentral.